RNAcentral lists this ribosomal RNA (374 nucleotides) under uncultured organism. RNAcentral describes it as "bacterial SSU rRNA". It matches the Rfam family "Bacterial small subunit ribosomal RNA", at positions 526 to 896 of the family's 1533-position model. The record is from RNAcentral.
CGGGGGAGGCAAGCGUUGUUCGGAUUUACUGGGCGUAAAGGGCGCGUAGGCGGCCACCGCAAGUCGACUGUGAAAUCUCCGGGCUUAACUCGGAAAGGUCAGCCGAUACUGCGGGGCUAGAGUGCAGAAGGGGCAACUGGAAUUCUCGGUGUAGCGGUGAAAUGCGUAGAUAUCGAGAGGAACACCUGCGGCGAAGGCGGGUUGCUGGGCUGACACUGACGCUGAUGUGCGAAAGCUAGGGGAGCGAACGGGAUUAGAUACCCCGGUAGUCCUAGCCUUAAACGAUGAAUGCUUGGUGUCUGGGGUUCUAUAGUCCCCGGGUGCCGUCGCUAACGCUUUAAGCAUUCCGCCUGGGGAGUACGGUCGCAAGACUG